AGCUCCGGGACUGGGGAUAGAAUUUAUUAAGAUGCGAUCAAUCUUGGAAAGAUGGGAAGCUAUUAGCCUUUCGUAGACAGCCAUUGCAUGCGCUUUAUCACUAGGAGAAGGUGGAGGCUGUGGCAGUGGCACAGGGCCCUUGAGAAGGGCGCUCAAAGCAGUACUAGAAUUGUCCUUCAAAGAAGGGAACAACUUCCUUCCUUCAAAACAGGGUACAAUACGGCAGAUUACUACAAGAACAAAGAUGAAUAUGACUGCACUGGAACGAGCCAUGCAUGCAAAAGUUUACUAGCUAGAAGCUUAUUACCGUGAUGGAUUGAAUAAGAUUUGGGCUGUGUGGCGGAGGAGAUAAGGAAAUUCAUUACCCUUUUAUAAGCUUAUUGGAAGGGUUGAGAAACGUGCGGCUUUAGUUAUGGUUGGCCGAGUCACUGUGUUUUCGAAGUUGACAAAAGAAAAUGAGCAGCGCAUAGUAAUACAAAUUUUCAUCAAUGGUGGGAUUUGGCCCAAAAUCAUUUGGGGUAGGUACAUUUCAACUAACUAUGCCGGCAGGCCUGCUACUUUCUUGCUUU
This 569-nucleotide unclassified non-coding RNA is filed under the name Hevea brasiliensis (rubber tree). Lineage: Eukaryota; Viridiplantae; Streptophyta; Magnoliopsida; Malpighiales; Euphorbiaceae. The record is from RNAcentral.